AUGGCAGCAAAAAGAAAGUGUUCAAAUCGAUUAAGCUUAAUUGAAUGCUGAUACAAUGCUGCCAGAAUAAUCUUUUAAGCCAAGAACAGUUCAGUUUAGAGCAGUCUAUAAACUGAUCUACACGUGGCCUAACAAUA
Drosophila persimilis is the source of this 137-nucleotide non-coding RNA. Lineage: Eukaryota; Metazoa; Arthropoda; Insecta; Diptera; Drosophilidae. The record is from Rfam.